This 971-nucleotide long non-coding RNA is filed under the name Coturnix japonica (Japanese quail). Its description in RNAcentral is "lncRNA (ENSCJPG00005017688.1)". The record is from RNAcentral. Lineage: Eukaryota; Metazoa; Chordata; Aves; Galliformes; Phasianidae.
GCAGCAUUCAUCAAUGGAAGGAAAAGCCUUACCACACACUCAGGGAUCUGAGGCAGCUAAGGAAGUCUGACUGCUCUCAUUGCCCUUCAGCUGUGGCUCACAGUGCCUGAGCUGGUUUCAGGUGGGGAAGCCCCACACAACUACCCUGGUUUGGUUUAGAGAAGCAUAUGUAUGAUGAUUUCCAAAAUCACCAGAGCUCUGGAAAGAGCCUUUCCUUUUAAAAUUGCUUCUUGAGAGCUAUCAAGGACUUCCCAACUUUAAAGUCACAUUUGGGGCAAAACAGAAUUACCAAGUACCAGAAAAAGGAAACUCACAAAGCAGGAGCCCAGAGCUGCCAGAUGAGCAGAACAAGACCAGGUUGGGGUCCUGGAGCAUGUCUUUCCUCGAUGCCCACUGUUCACCCAGCAGCUCUCAGCACCUUCCUGGUUUGUAUAUAUGCAUCCUUGUGUAUCCCUGCAAAAGUCUCCUUCUUUCCAACACCUCUGAGACCUGGCUUUCUGCCUGCCUCUCCCAUUCACACUGCAGCUGGCCCCAGUACCACACACCUGUCUGCAACUUCAUUAGAUGUGACCUAUAAAAAGUGGGGAGGAAACACUCAGUCCUCUUCCCCAGGUCUGCACCCAGCUCAAGUGAUAACUACCACAUAUGUGAAAACUAGGAGCCCUCCCCUCCCAUAUGUGCAGCCUCUCAAGUGAUGUGUUCCUGCUGUCAGUGCCGAGAGGACAUCAAACUUUCUAAUAGCAAAACCCCAGGCAUGUCUGAGCCCCACAAGCCCUACUGAAUUUCCAGCCACCUGAGCGGAUGUUCAGCUGCUGUAGGAGCCACUGCUUAGAGAGCCCAUUGCAGCUGAAUGAUGUUUCCCUUUUUCCCAACACUUUUGUGGCUGCUCAGUAAUGAUCAUCAUGGGUCAUUGUUUAUUAUCCCAGCUUCACAGUAAUGUUGUUCUUCGCAGCCCCCUACAUGACUGUUUU